RNAcentral lists this ribosomal RNA (390 nucleotides) under Triticum aestivum (bread wheat). RNAcentral describes it as "partial small subunit ribosomal RNA". Lineage: Eukaryota; Viridiplantae; Streptophyta; Magnoliopsida; Poales; Poaceae. The record is from RNAcentral.
AUGAACGUGCUCCGACUCGAGUCUCGCGUUGCCGCUGUGGUCGACUAUAUUGCAAGGCUGAAGGUUGCAACGUCGCGCAUCGACACGGUACUCUGGCCAAGAGAAACACUUCAGAACAACCUCGAGUCUCUGAUGACUCGGCUGAAUGAAGUUCCAAGUCGAGUGCAAGAAUGGAAGAAGUCUUCUGCCAGGUGCGGUGCUGACGUUGCUCUAUCUCUGGUCCAUGUUCACUGCAAGGAUGCGCGAGAGGACAAACUGGCAGCUCUCAAGGUGGCCAAUACCAAGAAGCAUGACUUCCGAUCCUUCAUGGAGACCUUCAUCGCUGCUGCCACUCGGAUCGCUGAUGGAAUUGACCUGGACGAGUUCGUUGCGCCUUCCAGCCCUCCAUAG